Molecule: ribosomal RNA, 329 nt
Filed under: uncultured eukaryote
Lineage: Eukaryota
Description: partial 18S ribosomal RNA
Rfam family: Eukaryotic small subunit ribosomal RNA
Source: RNAcentral
CCCUUAGAUGUUCCGGGCCGCACGCGCGCUACACUGACGGAGGCAGCGAGCGUGUCCUUCGCCGGCAGGUGCGGGCAAUCUUGCGAGUCUCCGUCGUGCUGGGGAUAGAUGGUUGCAAUUGUCGAUCUUGAACGAGGAAUUCCUAGUAAGCGCGAGUCAUCAGCUCGCGCUGAUUACGUCCCUGCCCUUUGUACACACCGCCCGUCGCUACUACAGAGUGCCCGUGUCCAAGAAACGGUCGGACCUGUGCGGCCUCUCCGGGCGACCGGAGGGCCGUUACGGGGAAGACCCUUUAUUUGACGCGGGUCGAUGAAGUAAAAGUCGUAACA